AGGCCAGGGUAAUGAGGGGGGACUCUUUACCCAGGACCCUGCCCACUGGCCUUCCUCUCUUCCAAACACAGGUUCCGGCAUGCCCAGGUGUGCAAGGCCUCAGCACUGAAGCAUGGUGGGGAUCUGGCACAAGACCCAGCCUGGACAGAGAUCUUUGGUGUUCUCUCUGUGGCCACCAUCAAGUUUGAGAUGCUGAGCACAGCCCCACAGAGUCAGCUCUUCCUGGCUCUGGCUGACAGCAGUAUCUCCACGAAGGGCACAAAGAGUGGCACCUUUGUCAUGUAUAAUUGUGCCCGUCUUGCCACACUCUUUGAGAGUUACAAGUGUAGUAUGGAACAAGGUCUGUACCCCACUUUUCCUCCUGUGAGCAGUCUGGACUUCUCACUGCUACAUGAUGAGUAUCCUCCCCUUUCCGGAUCUGCUGAGCCGGACAGCAGUGCUGGACUGCACAGCCCCGGGGCUCCACAUUGCUGUACGCACAGAGAUGAUAUGCAAGUUCCUGGUACAGCUCAGCAUGGAUUUCAGCUCCUACUACAACCGGGUACACAUCCUGGGGGUGAGCACACAGCAAAACGGGGUGGGACGUGCAGAGGGGUACAGGGUAAAGGCAAAGGAAGCAGAGGAUGAGACCAGCAGGCCCUUUCUCUUUCAGGAGCCUCGACCACACCUCUUUGGUCAGAUGUUCGUCCGCCUGCAGCUUCUGAGAGCUGUGCGUGAGGUGCUCCAUACUGGCCUGGCUAUGCUGGGUCUCCCUCCACUGAGCCACAUCUAAGGCCACAGAGGCUCCAAUACCUGGGAAUGUUCACAAAGUCAUCAACUGGAAAAAAAGCAAAAACUCACGGCCAAAAUAAAUUGGUACUGUUUGUUACAAAGUUCUGUCUUGUCAUGGGGAGUGGGGCAUAUUCUUUUGGCAGCACUCCACUCACCUUCAGCUCCUGCACCGACAUCAGGAACCCACGGCCACCACCUCCUCCCCUCAAGGCAUGCUGAGCAUGGGCACAAACAGCCCAUCCCUGCUCCAUGCUGUCUGUGAGCAGGCCCCAUGCCCAGCACGCCAGCCACCGCAGGAUACCUCAGUCGUACCAGUUGUAAACCUCAAGCCCCUGACCCCCAAGGGCACAACGGUGGCCAAACUCAGGGCUCACAGGCCAGCAGUCCAUGUCAGCCACAUCAGGCACAUGGAAUACAGUGCUAUUCAUGAAGGUGGGUUCACCAUGCCCCAGACGCCAGAAGGUCAGCCGUUGAUCAAUGGAGGCUGAGACCAUGAUGCUUGGGCUUAGGAUCUUGAGGCCUGUCACAUGGGCAGCAUGUGCACAGGGGACAGAGUAUUCCUCUAGCACACGCAGCUGAGGUACCAGCCCAGCCUCUCCCACAGCCUCUUCUAGCUGUAGCAUCUCCACAGCAAGCACGAAGACAUGGAGGGAUCCAUCUUCACUGCCACUGGCCACGAGAUGGUGGCCCUCACGGGUGGGCAAGGUGUGCAGGCUGUUGAUACCACAGCUGUGGGCCUGGAGAGUCAGGGAGGGGGUGCCAAGCCCUGAAGGAAGAGGAAGAGGGUAGUUGUCAGGGCCCCGCCUGCCACAUGUGUGAGGGCUAUGUGACAGGCGAGGAGGGGCAGCCAUGGUUGCACAUUAGCUACUCACGGUAGGGAAGCCCAGGAUCCACUGGAGGCUCCAGGACAGAGGAUUCAUGGUCUAGCAUGGUGGUGAGAUCCCAGAAGGCCAGGCUGCCAUCAGUAGCUGCGCUGCACAGGAGGAGCCUCCUGAGAGCCAGGAAAAGACAGCCUGGUCAAUAACAGAGAUGAAGCUCAACAGGAACCCCCCCCCCCCCCACCCAGCCCAUGCAGGACCAUCAUCCAGCCCCUCUCACCGCCUCUGGUUGGGUGCCUCGUGUGUAAAGGAGUGGACCUUGAGGACACAUCGCUUAUGGUGGAAGGUUUCAGCAAGGAGCUGCAGAAUCCGCCCAGAAUCCUGCAAAAGAAAGAGCCUGGGGGGCGGGGGGUGGCCCAGUUCAGAACGCAUCCUAGCCAACCUUACUUCCUUUGUCUCCUGUCCCACUGGGCCCUAUGCUCUCACCUUACGGCCCCAUCACUACAGGCUGCAGCCACAAGGGGGCCAAGGCUGGGCUGGUCAAGUUCACACACAGCAAGGGACAUGUACCUGCAGAGACAACAUGCAGCUGUCAGGUGGAGCCUGCAAGCCUGGGAGCAUCUGCAUGACCCAUACCACACCCUGCCCAGGAGCAUAUAUUACCUGGUCUCUGGGUCUACCUUAACCAUCCGAUGCCGAUUGCGUUGCCGGUCCCAAUACUCAUCUAGCCGGUGGGACGAAAGGUGCAUGACAUGGCAGGCGAGGCGGCUUGGGGUGCUGGGGUCCGGAGUAACCAUGAUGCUGAAGCAGUGCAUCUCAGCCCGCCCCCCGGCAGACACCACAUGGGCAGUCAGGCCUGGCUGAGGAUCCUGAGGGCCACCUGGGGUGCCAAUGCCCCACACAGCCACAGCACGUACCGAGGAGAUAUGGUUACAAACAGCUGUGAGUGCGUGGGCUGAGCCUGUGGUUGUAGGGAGUGCUAGGACACAGACAGUAGUGUCCUCACUACAUGUGAUCACAAUGUCAGUCAAGUCGGGCCCCUCACUGCCAGGCUCCAGGUCAUCAGGCUGCAUGAAGCUGGGCACUCCAUAUUCAGGCCCCAGGGUAAUGGUGCCCACACGCUUUACACAAGUGAUCUCACGGCC
This 2734-nucleotide long non-coding RNA is filed under the name Pan troglodytes (chimpanzee). RNAcentral's name for it is "long non-coding RNA NONPTRT011923". The record is from RNAcentral. Lineage: Eukaryota; Metazoa; Chordata; Mammalia; Primates; Hominidae.